AAAGUCCUGAUGUGUUCGUCUUAGCACCUUAUUGUUUUGACCUACAAGUCUUACCAAAGGGAGUCUGGAGUUUCUGGACUGAAUGCAUGCCUCCAAGAGAGGACGCGUGAGGCCUGGAGCAGGACACCCACCUGCUUAGAGCAGGCUCAAAACAUAGGAUUUAUGGGGACGGCACGAUUGGGACUUUU
RNAcentral lists this non-coding RNA (188 nucleotides) under Lederbergia citrea. RNAcentral's name for it is "6S / SsrS RNA". It matches the Rfam family "6S / SsrS RNA". Rfam says of the family: E. coli 6S RNA was the first non coding RNA to be sequenced, but its function was unknown until recently. Lineage: Bacteria; Bacillati; Bacillota; Bacilli; Caryophanales; Bacillaceae. The record is from Rfam by way of RNAcentral.